AUCUCCCCAAGCGAGGGAUAUAAAAGAGUAGCACCGUUUGCAGCGCAGUAGUCUGAACUGCCUCCUACGGAACACUACGACAAUCAGAUCACCAUGCUGUGCAGCAGGACCAUUCUUGUGGCCCUUGUGGUCCUCGCUCUUGCCUUCACCUUGGCGUCGGCCCAGUUCGGGCGCGGAGGCUUUGGCCGUGGAGGAUUUGGUGGCGGCUUCGGUCGGGGCGGCUUCGGAGGCAGCCGUGGAUUCGGUGGUGGAUUCGGUGGUGGCCGUGGAUUUGGAGGUGGCUUCGGACGAGGAGGUUUUGGCGGCUUCCGUGGUUAGAGCGCGCUGUGAUGUAGAGAACUGAAGGACCUUAUCCUUCUGACGGGAUGCCCAGUUCAUCAGCUGAAUGGAGAUAGAAAGUCACCAUCUGGAAAAAAUUGAAGAGUGGCUGCAUCAUUUUCUUUUGUUCUGUCCAUGGACAGGCGAGAACUCAUUAGUUCGUAUGCACAUUUCUGGUGAAAUCGUGCAUAACGCCAAAUUUAUGCUGAUAAUGAACGUGCUCCUUGUUUUAUUUUGGCUAAAAGUGUAAAUAAAAAGUGUUAAAGCCAAGUAC
Long non-coding RNA from Rhipicephalus microplus (southern cattle tick), 592 nucleotides. NCBI's taxonomy places the organism in Eukaryota, Metazoa, Arthropoda, Arachnida, Ixodida, Ixodidae. The record is from RefSeq and is a predicted model, not a curated record.